RNAcentral lists this ribosomal RNA (253 nucleotides) under uncultured bacterium. RNAcentral's name for it is "partial 16S ribosomal RNA". It matches the Rfam family "Bacterial small subunit ribosomal RNA", at positions 524 to 776 of the family's 1533-position model. The record is from RNAcentral.
UACGUAGGGUGCGAGCGUUACUCGGAAUUACUGGGCGUAAAGCGUGCGCAGGCGGUUCGUCGUGUCUCGUGUGAAAGCCCCGGGCUCAACCUGGGAAUGGCAUGGGAAACUGGCGAACUGGAGUGUGGCAGAGGGGGGUGGAAUUCCGCGUGUAGCAGUGAAAUGCGUAGAGAUGCGGAGGAACACCGAUGGCGAAGGCAGCCCCCUGGGCUGACACUGACGCUCAGGCACGAAAGCGUGGGGAGCAAACAGG